GAGGAUUAUACUGUCUCCCCCCCUAAAUCAAUGAAACUGAUCCCCCCGUGAAGAAGCGGGGAUAAAUAUAUAAGACGAGAAGACCCUAUGGAGCUUUAAACUAAACACCACUUACCUUUAACCACUCCCUUACAAACAGGUAAAGAUCGUGUGUGUUUUCAGUUGGGGUGACUGCGGAGCAAAAUAAAACCUCCACGAUGAAACAAUCCUCUAAUCUAAGAACAACAUUUCAAAGAAUCAACAAAUUGACAUAAAUUGACCCAAAUAUUAAUUUGAUCAACGAACCAAGUUACCCUAGGGAUAACAGCGCAAUCCAUUUCAAGAGCUCAUAUCGACAAAUG
RNAcentral lists this ribosomal RNA (341 nucleotides) under Chiasmocleis lacrimae. RNAcentral describes it as "partial 16S ribosomal RNA". It matches the Rfam family "Bacterial large subunit ribosomal RNA", at positions 2006 to 2514 of the family's 2925-position model. Lineage: Eukaryota; Metazoa; Chordata; Amphibia; Anura; Microhylidae. The record is from RNAcentral.